Molecule: long non-coding RNA, 505 nt
Filed under: Monodelphis domestica (gray short-tailed opossum)
Lineage: Eukaryota; Metazoa; Chordata; Mammalia; Didelphimorphia; Didelphidae
Description: lncRNA (ENSMODG00000041591.1)
Source: RNAcentral
GGGAUUCCCACUUGUGAUUUCAUAGAGGCCUGCUACAUAGCUAAUGCCUGUGGUGUGGUCUAAUUCUGUACCUAGAGCCUGGCUGCCAGGGAGCCAGCUUCCCUCACAUUGGCAGGGUGGUACUCCGGUUACAUAACCCCAGACUCUUUGAGGAGAAGGUUAAGGGAUAAAGAAAUCUACCAUCUGAAAGAGACUACCUUCCAAAUGGUGUCAUGAAGCCUUGGGCUCACAGGAUCAUAGAACCUGAGUCAGAAGGGGCUUUGGAGAAGCCCACUGUCUUUUGGCAGCAGCUCCCAGGUGGAAUCUUCCUGGAAUGUUGGAGUGAAGAUCUUACAGGAUUACCAGUGUGUAACCACUUCCAGAAUAGCAGAAGGUCAGAGAGAGUAUCAAUAGUAACCAUAUUCCAUGAGGGUGUGAUAGAGUCUAAGAGUGUUCAGACUGUAACAGCCUUGCUUACUCCUCUUUGCCCAUAGUCCUCUCUUCUCAGUAGUUUUUUUAAAGAAAA